This 1226-nucleotide ribosomal RNA is filed under the name metagenome. RNAcentral's name for it is "bacterial SSU rRNA". It matches the Rfam family "Bacterial small subunit ribosomal RNA", at positions 305 to 1520 of the family's 1533-position model. The record is from RNAcentral.
CAGCCACACUGGAACUGAGACACGGUCCAGACUCCUACGGGAGGCAGCAGUGGGGAAUCUUGCGCAAUGGGCGAAAGCCUGACGCAGCGACGCCGCGUGAGCGAUGAAGGCCUUCGGGUUGUAAAGCUCUGUGGGGAGGGAAGAAUAAGGCUUGGCUAAUAUCCAAGUUGAUGACGGUACCUCCUUAGCAAGCACCGGCUAACUCUGUGCCAGCAGCCGCGGUAAGACAGAGGGUGCAAACGUUGUUCGGAAUUACUGGGCGUAAAGCGCGUGUAGGCGGCUAAGUAAGUCGGGCGUGAAAUCCCACGGCUCAACCGUGGAAGUGCACUCGAAACUGCAUAGCUAGAGUCCUGGAGAGGAAGGUGGAAUGCUUGGUGUAGAGGUGAAAUUCGUAGAUAUCAAGCGGAACACCGGUGGCGAAGGCGGCCUUCUGGACAGUGACUGACGCUGAGACGCGAAAGCGUGGGGAGCAAACAGGAUUAGAUACCCUGGUAGUCCACGCCGUAAACGAUGAGUGCUAGGUGUCACGGGCUUUGACCCUCGUGGUGCCGAAGCUAACGCGUUAAGCACUCCGCCUGGGGAGUACGGCCGCAAGGCUAAAACUCAAAAGAAUUGACGGGGGCCCGCACAAGCGGUGGAGCAUGUUGUUUAAUUCGACGCAACGCGAAGAACCUUACCUGGGCUAGAAAGUACAGGAACCUGGUUGAAAAAUCGGGGUGCCCUUCGGGGAAUCUGUGGUUAGGUGCUGCAUGGCUGUCGUCAGCUCGUGUCGUGAGAUGUUGGGUUAGGUCCCGCAACGAGCGCAACCCCUGUCGUUAGUUGCCAUCAUUAAGUUGGGCACUCUAACGAGACUGCCGACCUUUAAGUCGGAGGAAGGUGGGGACGACGUCAAGUCAUCAUGGCCCUUAUGUCCAGGGCUACAAACGUGCUACAAUGGUCAGUACAAAGGGUAGCGAACCCGCGAGGGGGAGCCAAUCUCAAAAAGCUGGCCUCAGUACGGAUAAGAGUCUGCAACUCGACUCUUUGAAGUCGGAAUCGCUAGUAAUCGCUGAUCAGCAUGGCAGCGGUGAAUACGUUCCCGGGCCUUGUACACACCGCCCGUCACACCAUGGGAGUCGAUUGCUCCAGAAGUGGCUGCGCCAACCCCCAGGGAGGCAGGUCCCCAAGGAGUGCUCGGUAACUGGGGUGAAGUCGUAACAAGGUAGCCGUAGGGGAACCUGCGGCUG